Molecule: unclassified non-coding RNA, 484 nt
Filed under: Hevea brasiliensis (rubber tree)
Lineage: Eukaryota; Viridiplantae; Streptophyta; Magnoliopsida; Malpighiales; Euphorbiaceae
Source: RNAcentral
CAACCAUUUGAAUAUCAUCACUAAACAUCUUCUUCCCAACAGCUAGUCCAACCAUAGUAAUGCACUCUAUAGACUUACGAAGAAGCACGCUGUUGGAUUCAGCAGCUGCUUUCAUCAUUAUAACUUUCAAAUGAGGCAUAACAGUUUUGUAAUACACUUGAAAAUGAUCCUCUGAUGAUGAAACAAGUGAUCCUACUGCUGUCAAAGCCUCCUCUUUCAGCAGUUGCUUCCCUCUCUGCAGGCACCUAAGCAGUUUGUUGACAAUUUCAUCCAUGUAAGGUGUCAAGAGACCUGAAGUGCAAUCAUUACUAAAGUAAAACAGCGCACUAGCAGCUUGUACCUGAACGUAGGGAUGAGAGGAAAAAUUCAAAGCUUUUGUCAAAGCAGGCAGCACCUUUUUAUAAUACUGAAACUGAAAGUCAGGGUUCAAAUUCUUGGAGAACUCCUGAAUUGCAUUUAUAGCUGCCCAACGCACUCGAAAGUG